This is a long non-coding RNA of Papaver somniferum (opium poppy), 2952 nucleotides long. RefSeq lists it as uncharacterized. The transcript is spliced from 2 exons. The record is from RefSeq and is a predicted model, not a curated record. Lineage: Eukaryota; Viridiplantae; Streptophyta; Magnoliopsida; Ranunculales; Papaveraceae.
UAGCUUUUCUUCUCUUCUGAAUUGAUUUCUCUUGAAAUUUUCUAAGGUUAGAACUCUAGAGGAUUUGUCGAAAAAUCAAAGGAGUCGAGCUUGGAAAACCACUAAUUCAUUUUUGUUGAUCUUUGUGUUGUUUGCAUGGAAGAUGCUCACCCUGGAACUCUUGAUUGAGCAGCUGCUAUUCUAAUGUACCAAUGAAUAAAUUCGAGAUUUCAUGUUUUUGAUCAUCACCGUGAAAAGGUAUAAUGUUCGCAGCUUUUAGUCGGAGGUGUUACAUGUACCCGUUAAAUAUUUGUGCUAGAGCUUGGCAAAUAGUGAAUGGGAUGGUAAGCAUGAACACCAUUUUUGUCUCAAGCAAGCUAUGGUAAACACACAGAUCCGGUGCUUGGUCGGGAUUGGAGCAAGAAACUCAAGUAUCUUGCGGGUGCAAGUACUGACAAGUCCAUUAAGGUAAGACAUGGCCUAACACUUACAAAAUUGUCUAAAUGAUUUGAACACUAAGAAUAAUAAAAUUUCAUACUAUAGUGGAGAUUUAAUCUUUAAUUAGGCGAUGUGAAUAGUAAGUGCUAUCAUGAGAAGCAAAUGUAUCCUCUUUGUUCAGAAAUGACAAAAUGUUUGUCACUUAAUUUUUUUUUGUCUAGCUUUUGUUUUGGAUCAGUUUAAACAUGGAUGUCAACUAUCAUCUAGGUACACUACGGGACUUACUUAAAUGUAUCCCAAUAUUUUAUGUAGCUUAAUAAUCUUUGGUGACAGAAUGAAAUUUGAACUAAACACCUAUUUUAAGUUUAGUGGAUUAUUAUCAGUUUGUAUUAUACUUUUCUUUUUGAUGCUCAGUGGAUAAUAGUCCACUAUUUCGGUGUUCCCAUUCUAUUUAACGGUAUGGAUGAGAGUGGAUUUGGUCAAGUAUACAAAUCUUGCUUUUGCUACCGACUUAUCAUCAGUCUUUGGUGGUUAUUUAUUUAAAAUCCUAGUAGGUUAAACCUUUUGUAUAUCAAGACUAAAUUUACUCUAAUGUGACUGCACUCUACUGUUACUUUUAGGCAAUUGGCCCGUGUUAAUUUUGGCAACUGGCCGUAUGUUAUUUUUUUGCAAUUGACCCGUGUUAAUUUUGGCAACUGGCCGUCUGUUACUUUGGGGCAAUAUGCCCAUGUUAAUUUUGGCAACUGACCGUCUUUUACUUUUGGGCAAUUGUCCCGUCUUAAUUUUGGCAACUGGCCGUCUGUUACUUCUGGGCAAUUGGCCUGUGUUAAUUUUGGUAACUGGCCGUCUGUUACUUUUGGGUAACUGGUCCGUGUUAAUAUUGGCAACUGGCCGUCUGUUACUUUUGGGUAAUUGGCCCGUGUUAAUUUUGGCAACUGGCCGUUUUUGAGUUCGGCAACUGGCCGUCUUUGAGUUCGGCAAUUGGCCGUCUGUUAUUUCGGCAACUGGCCGACUCUUAUUUUUGAAAUUGGGACCCUUGUCGAUUUAUAUGAGUAUUAUGGUAUGGGACAUAUGCUCAUGGAAUUCUGACUUUGAGACUAAUGGAUUUCUACCGUGUGCAGGAUUAUGACUUAACGAAUUUUUUUACUUUAGUGGCGUAUUAGGGAGUAGGAUCUUGCCAAGCGACCCGUAACCCGACCCGCUGGAAGAAAAAUUCUCUGAUCCGUCACAGUUGAUAUCAGAGCAGUUCCGGUUCAUUCGGAACAGUGAGGUUUGGACUCAUCAGCGAUUUUAUUGUACUGCGAUUACAGGUAAUGUUCUGUACUUCUUGUUUUGUAUUGAACUUCGGGACGAAGUUCUUUAAAGGGGGUAAUGGUGCGAGAGCCUGAACUUUUAUCUGAGUCUAAUUUCCUAUGUUAGAGGUGGAAAUCAUAAUAAUAUCAUUUGGGAGUGCCCUUAACUCUAGAGAUGCCUUUGAACAUAAAUAUUGGUGCUAAAAUCACUUCACAUGCACUCCUCCACGUCAUGGGACAUGUGUUAACAUUUGAGAUGAUUUGGUGGAACUUUGGUCUUUGGUAUGUAUGAUGAAAGAAAAGAAAAAGAAAGAGAAACUUCCCUUCCUUAACAGAAUAGCUUUUCUUCUCUUCUGAGUUGAUUUCUCUUGAAAUUUUCUAAGGUUAGAACUCUAGAGGAUUUGUCGAAAAAUCAAAGGAGUCGAGCUUGGAAAACCACUAAUUCAUUUUUGUUGAUCUUUGUGUUGUUUGCAUGGAAGGUAUGAAACUUCCUCUUUAUAAAAUUAUAAUAUAUUUUCCUUCGUUGCGUUUGGAUCUGUUUUUGCUUGAGUUGAGUGUGGAUUGUUGAAAUAACUAUCUUUUAGAACAAUGGGUAGUUAGCAAAGAACAUCAGUUUCAUGUUUUGAUGUUUUGAUUUGAGAAUUUAGGAAUUAAGGCUAUUCAUGAAAUUGGGGAUUUCAACAAAAUCAUGUUCUUAUUCUAAAAUAUAAAGUGGGUAUGUUGUUCUCUACAUAAUUCACUUCUAACAAGCUUUGGGAAAGGAAAUUGCAUGAUUGUAUGGUAAAUCAAUUUUGUAAACUCUAGAAUGUUUGUUAUGGUUUUUUACUGAUUUCUUGAGGUCCAGUGGUUGGAUGGGGAUGAAAUUUGGAUAUGUUAUGCCUACAUGUCAGGAAAGCUCGCCUAAAAUUUCAGGAAAAUCGGACUAGGAAAAGUAGCAAAAAUUGAUGUAUUGCAGAGACAGUUUGUAGAACUUGUAUAACGUGGCAGAUUUUCCAGACCUUUAAUUGAGUGCUUAGAUUUCAUGGAUUUCUCUGAUUAUUGGGUAUGUAGAACCCAUUUUCAUGAUGAAUAGAUCAUGAUAACUACACCAAGCAAGGAAUUUUCUACAGUUAAACAUGUAAUAAUUCGGUUUGAUGUAAGCAUAUAAAAUCAUCCGUAAGUCGAUGUCUAACCAUUUCUUUCCUUUGAUAUUUUUGUAUGGUGUUGGAUUUCGAUCUAUUAAACAAUGAUGACUUCCGAAUCA